ACAAAUCUUUUAUGAACUCUAGUUGAGAACCAUUGUUGUAGAAGAAAGAAAGAGAAACCUAUUUAUGGCAUAGUGACAGUUCACUCUGUAAGGGGGCUGGUGUUAACGAGGUCAUCCAACGGUAGAAACUAGGCCAAAACAAACAAUGGGGCAGUCCUCUGGUUUGCCAGCUCCUUUCGAAUCAUCCAACCCAUCCAUGCCAGCAUGGAAAACGGACGUUAAACGACGAUGAUGAUGUUUAUCAAGACACAUGAGUGAAAGCAGACUUCCACACUCAAUAAAUUCUGUUAUUUAAUUAUAUUAAUUCUUAUUGUAUUCUAAGAAGAUAUGUUUCUGUACGUAUGUAGGACUGCUGCUGUUGUUUAUUGACUGUUAUUUUAUUCCCCAAUUCUUCGACGGAAACUCAGAACAAUGCUUCAAAACAUUUUGUCCAUUCUCCAACGAUUCAACAAAUCAUCCACUGCUUUUAAUACCGUCUAAUAUUUUGUUUGUUUAUCAGUUACUUCGCUUUGUGUCUUCCGUAAUCGAGAGUACAUUUAAUCGCUUAGCGUCUUCCAUAUAUUUCAUCUACGCGCCUCAAAACUGUUUUUUCUUCCUCAAAACAAAUAUUUCCUCAUUUGUCGACUUCGGUUCCAACCUUUGCUGUUCCGUUUUACAUUUUUAUUAUAAAUUCAAAGCCAUUGAAUUGCUUUGUUUUUAAUUGAAGCUGCAGCAGAAGAGAAAUUUUCAAAUAGGGAUGCAGGCCUCCACAGCAACUGGAAAUGAGGAACCAGUAACAGUUAAGAAGAAAAUAAUCGAAAAUGGUUUUUAUUGUGAUGUGUGUGAGAAGGUGUUUUCAUCUAGGGCCCAUGCGAGGACCCAUAAACCGGCGCACUUGUUCCUUCGAAAGUUGAAGUGUAGUCAUUGUGCAAAACGUUUCUAUCAAACGCAUCACCUGAAAAAGCACGAAGCGACCCAUUCGUCUGCCCGUCCAUAUGCUUGUGAGAUUUGUAAGAGAGCCUUCAAGGUGGAGUCGAAUAUGAAGCUUCAUAUGGCUGUACAUACGAGGGAGGCCAGCCACGAGUGCCCUGACUGUGGUUUUAAGUUCCAUCAAGCUGGAGCUUUGACGCGUCAUUAUAGGAGCAUUCACCUACGUCAACAGUUUUACGAAUGUAAUGUCUGUAAAACGAAGUUCAAUCGGAAAGAAACACUUCGUUCCCAUUUGGAUUCUCAUAGGAUAGAUAAUCCAUUUAGCUGCAAGCCGUGUGGCAUGUUGUUCCCCGAUAACAGUCAGUUGGUGAAACACACGAAAGCCCAUCACCUCGUCAUCAAAGUUCCGAAAUCAUCUCAGUCACAACAAAGCUAGUCAGUUGCCAGUUUUGGCAUUUAGAAAACCCAAAACGUUUAUAAAGUGGAAUAAAUUGGUGUAUUUUACAGAAA
This is an RNA transcript of Octopus sinensis (East Asian common octopus), 1419 nucleotides long. It is a transcript of the gene named zinc finger protein 85, with no coding region annotated. The record is from RefSeq and is a predicted model, not a curated record. The transcript has 3 exons. NCBI's taxonomy places the organism in Eukaryota, Metazoa, Mollusca, Cephalopoda, Octopoda, Octopodidae.